GUGGUCAAGCGAACAAGGGCGCACGGUGGAUGCCCUGGCGUCAGGAGGCGAUGAAGGACGUGGCAGGCUGCGAUAAGCUCCGGUGAGCCGCCUAACAGGCUUUGACCCGGAGAUUUCCGAAUGGGGCAACCCCCCGCGGCAAACCCGCGGGAUCCGGCACUGAAUACAUAGGUGCCGGAAGCCAACGAGGGGAACUGAAACAUCUAAGUACCCUCAGGAAGAGAAAGCAACCGCGAUUCCCCCAGUAGUGGCGAGCGAACGGGGAUCAGCCUAAACCCGGCUUAUGCCAAGCCCGCAAGCGUUGUAGGCCGGGGGUUGCGGGUUCUGUUCGGGCGGAUUUGCGGAUCCGCCGGGAAGUCAAAAACCGGUACCGUAGUCGAAGCGGCUGGAAAGCCGAUCCAUAGAGGGUGAUAGGCCCGUAGGCGAAACGGCACCGGCUUCCUGGAACAGACACCCAAGUACCGCGGGGCACGAGAAACCCCGCGGGAAUCCGGGAGGACCAUCUUCCAAGGCUAAAUACUACCUGACGACCGAUAGCGCACUAGUACCGUGAGGGAAAGGUGAAAAGAACCCCAGCGAGGGGAGUGAAAUAGAACCUGAAACCGUGUGCCUACAAACAGUGGUAGCCCUAUGCCGGCGGCUUGCCGUCGACAGGGUGACCGCGUGCCUUUUGCAUAAUGAGUCAGCGAGUUACCUUACGUGGCAAGGUUAAGCCGGAAGGCGGAGCCGUAGCGAAAGCGAGUCCUAAUCGGGCGACAUAGUCACGUGGGGUAGACCCGAAACCAGGUGAUCUACCCAUGGCCAGGAUGAAGCAGGUGUAAAAGCCUGUGGAGGUCCGAACCGGUGUUGGUUGAAAACAGCUCGGAUGAGCUGUGGGUAGGGGUGAAAGGCUAAUCAAACCUGGAAAUAGCUGGUUCUCCCCGAAAUAUAUUUAGGUAUAGCCUCGGGGCAUUCAGUGACGGGGGUAGAGCACUGGAUGGGCUAGGGGACCUACCAGUCUACCAAACCCAACCAAACUCCGAAUACCGUCAACUGCUAUCCCGGGAGUCAGUCUACGGGCGAUAAGGUCCGUGGUCGAAAGGGAAACAACCCAGAUCGCCAGCUAAGGCCCCAAAAUAUGUGCUAAGUGGAAAAGGAUGUGGAAACGCUAAGACAGCCAGGAGGUUGGCUUAGAAGCAGCCAUCCUUUAAAGAAAGCGUAACAGCUCACUGGUCGAGUGGGUCCGCGCCGAAAAUUCAUCGGGGCUCAAGCACAUUGCCGAAGCUGCGGGUGGCCUUCGCAAGAAGGUCGCGGUAGGGGAGCGUUCCAUUGUAGGUCGAAGCCGGACCGUAAGGACCGGUGGACGAACUGGAAGUGCUUAUGCUGACACAAGUAGCGAUAAAGCGGGUGAAAAACCCGCUCGCCGUAAGCCUAAGGGUUCCUGGGGAAGGUUAAUCCGCCCAGGGUUAGUCGGAUCCUAAGGUGAGGCCGAAAGGCGUAACCGAUGGAAAACAGGUUAAUAUUCCUGUACCACCAUUUCCGCGCUAUUACCGAAGGGGGGACGCAGAAGGGUAGGUGAGCCAGCUGACGGACGUGCUGGUCCAAGCCGGUAGGGGGGCUUCCCAGGAAAAUCCGGGAAGCCGUUAUCUCCGAGAGGUGAUGGGGAGGGGCUUCGCCCCGCAAACUCACUGAUCCCACGCUGCCGAGAAAAGCCUCGUAGGGAGUUGGAAUGGUGUCCGUACCGUAAACCGACACAGGUGGGCAAGGAGAAUAUCCUAAGGCGCUCGAGUGAUCCCUCGUUAAGGAACUCGGCCAAUUACCCCCGUAACUUCGGGAAAAGGGGGGCCCUUUGGGGUGAGGAGACUUGCUCUCCAGGCUUCAGGGGGCCGCAGAGAAAUGGCCGCGGCGACUGUUUACUAAAAACACAGGACUCUGCUAAGUCGUGAAGACGACGUAUAGGGUCUGACGCCUGCCCGGUGCCGGAAGGUUAAGGGGCGAUGUCAGGGGGGCAACCCCCGAAGCUUCAAACCGAAGCCCCGGUAAACGGCGGCCGUAACUAUAACGGUCCUAAGGUAGCGAAAUUCCUUGUCGGGUAAGUUCCGACCUGCACGAAUGGCGUAACGAUCGCGGCACUGUCUCAACGAGGGGCUCGGCGAAUCUGAAAUACCGGUGAAGAUGCCGGUUACCCGCACCUAGACGGAAAGACCCCGUGCACCUUCACUGCAACUUGGCAUUGGAUUUUGGAAUAGCUUGUGUAGCAUAGGUGGGAGGCUUUGAAACCGGGGCGCUAGCUCCGGUGGAGCCAACAGUGAAAUACCACCCUGGUUGUUCCGGAAUUCUAACCUGGGCCCGUAAUCCGGGCCGGGGACAAUGCCUGGUGGGCAGUUUGACUGGGGCGGUCGCCUCCCAAAGAGUAACGGAGGCGCGCGAAGGUUCCCUCAGGCUGAUUGGAAACCAGCCGACGAGUGUAAAGGCAUAAGGGAGCUUGACUGCGAGACUGACAAGUCGAGCAGGUGCGAAAGCAGGUCUUAGUGAUCCGGUGGUUCCGCAUGGAAGGGCCAUCGCUCAACGGAUAAAAGGUACGCCGGGGAUAACAGGCUUAUCUCCCCCAAGAGUUCACAUCGACGGGGAGGUUUGGCACCUCGAUGUCGGCUCAUCGCAUCCUGGGGCUGAAGUAGGUCCCAAGGGUUUGGCUGUUCGCCAAUUAAAGCGGUACGUGAGCUGGGUUUAAAACGUCGCAAGACAGUUUGGUCCCUAUCUGGUGUGGGCGUUGGAGACUUGAAGGGAGCUGUCCCUAGUACGAGAGGACCGGGAUGGACGCACCGCUAGUGUACCAGUUGUUCCGCCAGGGGCAUCGCUGGGUAGCUAUGUGCGGAAGGGAUAACCGCUGAAAGCAUCUAAGUGGGAAACCCGCCCUGAGAUGAGGUCUCCCGGGGCUAUAAGCCCCCUGAAGGGCCCUCGUAGACUACGAGGUUGAUAGGCCGGGUGUGUAAGCGCAGCGAUGCGUUUAGCUGACCGGUACUAAUCGCCCGUGAGGCUUGACCACUAU
RNAcentral lists this ribosomal RNA (3028 nucleotides) under Deltaproteobacteria bacterium CG_4_9_14_3_um_filter_65_9. Its description in RNAcentral is "bacterial LSU rRNA". It matches the Rfam family "Bacterial large subunit ribosomal RNA". Lineage: Bacteria; Deltaproteobacteria. The record is from RNAcentral.